GCAUAUCAAUAAGCGGAGGAAAAGAAACCAACAGGGAUUGCCCUAGUAACGGCGAGUGAAGCGGCAACAGCUCAAAUUUGAAAUCUGGCUCUUUUAGAGUCCGAGUUGUAAUUUGCAGAGGGCGCUUUGGCUUUGGCAGCGGUCCAAGUUCCUUGGAACAGGACGUCACAGAGGGUGAGAAUCCCGUACGUGGUCGCUGGCUAUUGCCGUGUAAAGCCCCUUCGACGAGUCGAGUUGUUUGGGAAUGCAGCUCUAAAUGGGAGGUACAUUUCUUCUAAAGCUAAAUAUUGGCCAGAGACCGAUAGCGCACAAGUAGAGUGAUCGAAAGAUGAAAAGCACUUUGGAAAGAGAGUCAAACAGCACGUGAAAUUGUUGAAAGGGAAGCGCUUGCAGCCAGACUUGCUUGCAGUUGCUCAUCCGGGCUUUUGCCCGGUGCACUCUUCUGCAGGCAGGCCAGCAUCAGUUUGGGCGGUAGGAUAAAGGUCUCUGUCACGUACCUCUCUUCGGGGAGGCCUUAUAGGGGAGACGACAUACUACCAGCCUGGACUGAGGUCCGCGCAUCUGCUAGGAUGCUGGCGUAAUGGCUGUAAGCGGCCCGUCUUGAAACACGGACC
RNAcentral lists this ribosomal RNA (614 nucleotides) under uncultured fungus. Its description in RNAcentral is "eukaryotic LSU rRNA". It matches the Rfam family "Eukaryotic large subunit ribosomal RNA", at positions 38 to 667 of the family's 3401-position model. Lineage: Eukaryota; Fungi. The record is from RNAcentral.